AAGGAUUUAAGUUAGAUAAACUAGUAGUCUUCAAAACUACCAACAAAGAUUCCCUUUAAGCCUUA
RNAcentral lists this transfer RNA (65 nucleotides) under Ptiliidae sp. BMNH 1274726. Its description in RNAcentral is "tRNA-Trp". Lineage: Eukaryota; Metazoa; Arthropoda; Insecta; Coleoptera; Ptiliidae. The record is from RNAcentral.